Molecule: non-coding RNA, 730 nt
Filed under: Pongo abelii (Sumatran orangutan)
Lineage: Eukaryota; Metazoa; Chordata; Mammalia; Primates; Hominidae
Source: RNAcentral
GAGACUCCGAGAGCCGCUCUCCCAGGCUCCCCGCUGCAGCGGCGGGGCUGCCGGGGGCGGCACACUCCAACGCCAGCCAGAGAGCUAGCGCCGCUUGAGGCCAGCCGGGGACGAGGCGCUUUACACUGCCUGAUGGGUACUAGCAGCCCACCCCAGCCAGAUGGAGGACAAGGCCUCUCCAAGUCUCAAGGAAAUGCACAAUCCUUCCUUACCUCUGGCCUCAGAAAUCUCAGCAUCUCAUUGAUUAGCAACCUCGUCUGUGGCAAAUCUAAGGAACACCUUCUACUUAAAAUUGAAGUCUUCUGGGCUGGGUGUGGUGGCUCACUCCUGUAAUCCCAGCACUUUGGGAGGCCAAGGCGUGCGGAUCACGAAGUCAGGAGUUCGAGACCAGCCUGGCCAACAUAGUGAAACCCUGUCUCUACUAAAAAUACAAAAAUGAGCCGAGUGUGGUGGCACGUGCCUGUAGUCCCAGCUACUCGGGAGGCUGAGGCCUCUGAGCCCAAGCUAAGCCAGCAUAUCCCCUGCGACCUGCACAUACACAUCCAGAUGGCCGGUUCCUGCCUUAACUGAUGACAUUCCACCACAAAAGAAGUGAAAAUGGCCUGUUCCUGCCUUAACUGAUGACAUUGCCUUGUGAAAUUCCUUCUCCUGGCCCAUCCUGGCUCAAAAGCUCCCCCCACUGAGUACCUUGUGACCCCCACCCUGCCCACCAGAGAACAACCCCCUUUGA